AUUGAACGCUGGCGGCAUGCCUUACACAUGCAAGUCGAACGGCAGCACGGGAGCAAUCCUGGUGGCGAGUGGCGAACGGGUGAGUAAUAUAUCGGAACGUGCCCAGUCGUGGGGGAUAACGUAGCGAAAGCUACGCUAAUACCGCAUACGAUCUAUGGAUGAAAGCGGGGGAUCGCAAGACCUCGCGCGAUUGGAGCGGCCGAUAUCAGAUUAGGUAGUUGGUGGGGUAAAGGCUCACCAAGCCGACGAUCUGUAGCUGGUCUGAGAGGACGACUAGCCACACUGGGACUGAGACACGGCCCAGACUCCUACGGGAGGCAGCAGUGGGGAAUUUUGGACAAUGGGCGCAAGCCUGAUCCAGCAAUGCCGCGUGCAGGAUGAAGGCCUUCGGGUUGUAAACUGCUUUUGUACGGAACGAAACGGCGAGCUCUAAUACAGUUUGCUAAUGACGGUACCGUAAGAAUAAGCACCGGCUAACUACGUGCCAGCAGCCGCGGUAA
RNAcentral lists this ribosomal RNA (500 nucleotides) under uncultured bacterium. Its description in RNAcentral is "partial 16S ribosomal RNA". It matches the Rfam family "Bacterial small subunit ribosomal RNA", at positions 30 to 523 of the family's 1533-position model. The record is from RNAcentral.